Molecule: non-coding RNA, 875 nt
Organism: Macaca mulatta (Rhesus monkey)
Lineage: Eukaryota; Metazoa; Chordata; Mammalia; Primates; Cercopithecidae
Source: RefSeq, a predicted model, not a curated record
GCGGCAUGUACUUAAAGUCCCAGCCACUCAGGAGGCUGAGGCCCUUCCCAAGUUGCAUGAAAUGGAUGAAUAAUGUAUGAUGUCAUGCCUCAGUGAUUCACAUAGCUAAGCCCAGGGCCAAGAACAGAGACUGUAUUCCUUAGAAGAGAUGAUGUCCUAAAGUGACGAAUACAACUCGUGGUACAAACAGGAAGACAAAAGUUUCUUACGAGAGAAAUAUUUAUUCAACUGACAUUAACUGAGAUGGUCGGAAACUGCCUCUCAUUUUAAACACCUUUGCAGGAAACAGACUGCUUCUUAUUCCACCAAAACCCACACAAAAGGAAAACAGUUGUAGCUUGAGGGCAACUUUGAGAACAAAGACCAAAUAUUGACCCAAUUGAAAUUUGGCAGCUCCAUUUCCCUGAAGGGCCAACUCUGGGUCAUGGAUUAGGUGCUGUGGCUUUUCUUCCUUUUGCACGGUUCUGGCCUUGGCAGCACUGGGCUAUAGCCUCCAGGGUUGGUAAUUUGUCACUCUCCAGGAUAACUCUAUUUCAGAGGGAUUGUCAAGUGGCCAGGAAGGCAGCAGGGCCACCCGCUGUGACCUGAUGUCUGAGCCUGAGAAGACCUGUCCCUCUUGGCCAGGCACUUCCCCCCAGUCCUGUGGCUUUUGGACAUCUUCAGAGACCCAGGAUGAAUGGCCCAUAUCUGGUUUUUCUCUAGUUCAUAUUGGUGCUGUACUCUGCUAAGCAUGAGGUGGUUGUGUGAGAACUGGAGAAAGACGAGAACUGGGUAUUAUGUGGAUAGAGUGGCAUUUUGUUUAAAAAGUAAAGGAAAAUUUUGUGUACAUUGUCUAGUCCAGUGUUUCCAAUCAUUUUGUGUCUAAUAUUAUUUGG